Molecule: long non-coding RNA, 296 nt
Filed under: Chrysemys picta bellii (western painted turtle)
Lineage: Eukaryota; Metazoa; Chordata; Testudines; Emydidae
Description: lncRNA (ENSCPBG00000003621.1)
Source: RNAcentral
AUGGAGGGGAAACUGAGGUACCAAGCGAGUGGGGGGCACUGGGAUGGUCUCACCUGUUGGGUGAAGAGUGGGCGGCAGCUUUCACCCAUCUCUGCUUUUCCCCCAGUACAUCCUUUCAGGGUUCAUUUGUGUGGAAGCUGCCAAGAACCCCAAGAUUUCACUGGUGAAGGCCAUGCUGGCUACGAAUACCCUCAGUGCCAUAGUGGACGGAGUGAGCAUCGUCCUCUAUUCGCUCUCGCUUAUCUUCUACUACCCGCACGGAACCUGCCAGUGGAUCGAGGAGUCCAAGUCCUGCG